This 73-nucleotide transfer RNA is filed under the name Phycisphaerae bacterium. RNAcentral's name for it is "tRNA-Gly". It matches the Rfam family "tRNA". From Rfam's summary of the family: Transfer RNA (tRNA) molecules are approximately 80 nucleotides in length. The record is from RNAcentral. Lineage: Bacteria; Pseudomonadati; Planctomycetota; Phycisphaerae. RNAcentral also lists the same sequence under 3 other names.
GCGGGCGUAGCUCAGUUGGUAGAGCGUGACGUUCCCAACGUCAAUGUCGAGGGUUCGAACCCCUUCGCCCGCU